Molecule: long non-coding RNA, 685 nt
Organism: Oncorhynchus keta (chum salmon)
Lineage: Eukaryota; Metazoa; Chordata; Actinopteri; Salmoniformes; Salmonidae
Exons: 4
Source: RefSeq, a predicted model, not a curated record
AAAGCAGGUUCCAGUGUUGCCGUAUUGAAACCCAACCCCCAGGUAGCCUCAGCCUGGGAAAGCAGGUUCCAGUGUUGCCGUAUUGAAACCCAACCCCCAGGUAGCCUCAGCCUGGGAAAGGAGGUUCCAGUGUUGCCGUAUUGAAACCCAACCCCCAGGUAGCCUCAGCCUGGGAAAGCAGGUUCCAGUGUUGCCGUAUUGAAACCCAACCCCCAGGUAGCCUCAGCCUGGGAAAGCAGGUUCCAGUGUUGCCGUAUUGAAACCCAACCCCCAGGUAGCCUCAGCCUGGGAAAGGAGGUUCCAGUGUUGCCGUAUUGAAACCCAACCCCCAGGUAGCCUCAGCCUGGGAAAGCAGGUUCCAGUGUUGCCGUAUAGAAACCCAACCCCCUGGUAGCCUCAGCCUGGGAAAGCAGGUUCCAGUGUUGCCGUAUUGAAACCCAACCCCCAGGUAGCCUCAGCCUGGGAAAGGAGGUUCCAGUGUUGCCGUAUUGAAACCCAACCCCCUGGUAGCCUCAGCCUGGGAUACGAUCCGAGACAGGAUCUCCCAUUCCACAGCACAUGACGGUAGAUAUCGGCCUAGGCAACACUGAGAAUAGAAUACAAGAUCUGAUAAAGAAUACAAGAUCUGAUAAAGACUACUACUACUGUCCUGGUGAAAGAAACACAUGCCUGGCCAAGAUAACAC